GCGCGCAAACUUUCCAAUGCACGCAAGUGUGAGAAGGGAAUUCCGAGUGCUCAAGCAUUGCUUGGGCUUUUGCUAAGUGUGAAUAGCUUGGCGAAUAAGGGGUGGGUAAGACUGGUGCCAGCCGCCGCGGUAACCCCAGCGCCCCGAGUGGGAAUCACGCUUAUUGGGUCUAAAGCGUUCGUAGCAGGCUUUGUAAAUCUCUUGUGAAAUCGGCAGGCUUAACUUGUCGGCGUGCAGGAGACACUGCAGGGCUCGAGAUCGGGAGAGGUCAGAAGUAUUCCUUGGGUACCGGUAAAAUGGGUUAAUCCAAGGAGGACUACCAAUGGCGAAGGCAUCUGGCCAGAACGAUUCUGACUGUGAGGAACGAAAGCUAGGGGAGCAAAACGGAUUAGAUACCCGAGUAGUCCUAGCCGUAAACGCUGUGAGCAAGGUAUUGCGCAUCCCACGAGGAUGCGCAGUGUCGAAAUGAAGAUGUUAAGCUCACCACCAGGGAAGUACGGUCGACG
RNAcentral lists this ribosomal RNA (506 nucleotides) under uncultured Halobacteriales archaeon. Its description in RNAcentral is "bacterial SSU rRNA". It matches the Rfam family "Archaeal small subunit ribosomal RNA", at positions 339 to 846 of the family's 1478-position model. Lineage: Archaea; Methanobacteriati; Methanobacteriota; Halobacteria; Halobacteriales. The record is from RNAcentral.